GAUGAACGCUGGCGGCGUGCCUAAUACAUGCAAGUCGAGCGAACAGAUGAGGAGCUUGCUCCUCUGACGUUAGCGGCGGACGGGUGAGUAACACGUGGAUAACCUACCUAUAAGACUGGGAUAACUUCGGGAAACCGGAGCUAAUACCGGAUAAUAUAUUGAACCGCAUGGUUCAAUAGUGAAAGACGGUUUUGCUGUCACUUAUAGAUGGAUCCGCGCCGCAUUAGCUAGUUGGUAAGGUAACGGCUUACCAAGGCAACGAUGCGUAGCCGACCUGAGAGGGUGAUUGGCCACACUGGAACUGAGACACGGUCCAGACUCCUACGGGAGGAAGCAGUAGGGAAUCUUCCGCAAUGGGCGAAAGCCUGACGGAGCAACGCCGCGUGAGUGAUGAAGGUCUUCGGAUCGUAAAACUCUGUUAUUAGGGAAGAACAAAUGUGUAAGUAACUAUGCACGUCUUGACGGUACCUAAUCAGAAAGCCACGGCUAACUACGUG
Molecule: ribosomal RNA, 497 nt
Filed under: uncultured bacterium
Lineage: Bacteria
Description: partial 16S ribosomal RNA
Rfam family: Bacterial small subunit ribosomal RNA
Source: RNAcentral